GACGAACGCUGGCGGCGUGCUUAACACAUGCAAGUCGUACGGUAAGGCCCUUUCGGGGGUACACGAGUGGCGAACGGGUGAGUAACACGUGCGUAACCUGCCCACAACUUUGGGAUAACGCUAGGAAACUGGUGCUAAUACUGGAUAUGUGCUCCUGCUGCAUGGUGGGGGUUGGAAAGCUCCGGCGGUUGUGGAUGGACUCGCGGCCUAUCAGCUUGUUGGUGGGGUAGUGGCCUACCAAGGCGGCGACGGGUAGCCGGCCUGAGAGGGUGACCGGCCACAUUGGGACUGAGAUACGGCCCAGACUCCUACGGGAGGCAGCAGUGGGGAAUAUUGCACAAUGGGCGCAAGCCUGAUGCAGCAACGCCGCGUGCGGGAUGACGGCCUUCGGGUUGUAAACCGCGUUCAGCAGGGACGAAGCUUUUUGUGACGGUACCUGCAGAAGAAGCACCGGCUAACUACGUG
Molecule: ribosomal RNA, 465 nt
Filed under: uncultured bacterium
Lineage: Bacteria
Description: partial 16S ribosomal RNA
Rfam family: Bacterial small subunit ribosomal RNA
Source: RNAcentral